Molecule: ribosomal RNA, 353 nt
Filed under: Ophiocoma echinata
Lineage: Eukaryota; Metazoa; Echinodermata; Ophiuroidea; Amphilepidida; Ophiocomidae
Description: partial 16S ribosomal RNA
Rfam family: Bacterial large subunit ribosomal RNA
Source: RNAcentral
UUAAACGGCUGCCGUACUCUGACUGUGCAAAGGUAGCAUGAUCAAUUGUCUGGUAAUUCCAGUCUGGUAAGAAUGGUUAGACGAUAGGAACGCUGUCUUUUUCUCUUUUGUUGAAAUUGACUACCAGGUGCGGUUUCCUGGAUUGGAGAGUGGGACGAGAAGACCCUAUAGAGCUUUAACUUUAGCUAUAAAAUCAUUGUUAUGGUGUGUGUUUUAGUUGGGGCAACUAUUCUUAUUAUUAAACAUUUAUAGUAAUCUAGUAAAUUUAAUUUGUGUGGACCCUAAAUUUUUAGGUAGUUAGAAAAAGUUACCUUAGGGAUAACAGCGUAAUUUCUCUUGAGAGUUCUUAUUAA